UGAGAGCGAGAACAGCCCCGCAGGUCCCGAGGCGCUGGCUGGGGACACUGCCGCGGAAAGUUCCCAGUCCCCAGCCGCAGAUCUGCAGAGUUGAAAUGAAAUGUUUUGAGCUCUUCGAGCUGACUCGUCAGAAUACUGGAGCCUUUUAAAAAAUGACGAAUUGGAAGAAAAAAUUACUUUAUCAAUAACCAGGCUGCACCAGGAUUGACCAAGAUGUUUGUUCCUGGCGCUUGUCAUUCUCAGCAAGCACAACACAGAGAGCAAAUAUAAAAGGCUCAAAGUGCAUUGCAUCUUUUAUGGGUAAGCAUGAAAUAGGUU
Molecule: long non-coding RNA, 318 nt
Filed under: Rhinopithecus bieti (black snub-nosed monkey)
Lineage: Eukaryota; Metazoa; Chordata; Mammalia; Primates; Cercopithecidae
Description: lncRNA (ENSRBIG00000046142.1)
Source: RNAcentral